Molecule: small nuclear RNA, 192 nt
Filed under: Amphibalanus amphitrite
Lineage: Eukaryota; Metazoa; Arthropoda; Thecostraca; Balanomorpha; Balanidae
Description: U2 spliceosomal RNA
Rfam family: U2 spliceosomal RNA
About the family: U2 is a small nuclear RNA (snRNA) component of the spliceosome (involved in pre-mRNA splicing). Complementary binding between U2 snRNA (in an area lying towards the 5' end but 3' to hairpin I) and the branchpoint sequence (BPS) of the intron results the bulging out of an unpaired adenosine, on the BPS, which initiates a nucleophilic attack at the intronic 5' splice site, thus starting the first of two transesterification reactions that mediate splicing.
Source: RNAcentral
AUCGCUUCUCGGCCUUUUGGCUAAGAUCAAAGUGUAAAUCUGUUCUUAUCAGCUUAAUAUCUGAUACGUCCCCUACAUGGGGACCAGAAUAUUAAACUGAUUUUUGGACUUUGGCGGGGUUUUUGGAGCUUGCUCCAGCCCUGCCGCGGGUUGGCCUGGCAUUGCACUACAGCCAGGAUCGGCCCACUUUUG